Molecule: long non-coding RNA, 1677 nt
Filed under: Homo sapiens (human)
Lineage: Eukaryota; Metazoa; Chordata; Mammalia; Primates; Hominidae
Description: non-protein coding lnc-NDFIP1-1:3
Source: RNAcentral
UGGCACACGUUUGUAGUCCCAGCUACUUGGGAAGCUCAGGCAGGAGAAACUUGAACCCAGGAGGUAGAGUUCGCAGUGAGUAGAGAUCACACUGCUGCACUCCAAAGUGAGACUCCAUCUCAAAAAAAAAAAAAAAAAAGUAGAACUUUACAAACACUACAGUGCAUUUUCUAGAAAAUUUUUUCUAGGCCGGGCGCGGUGGCUCACGCCUGAAACUUGAACCCAGGAGGUAGAGUUCGCAGUGAGUAGAGAUCACACUGCUGCACUCCAAAGUGAGACUCCAUCUCAAAAAAAAAAAAAAAAAAGUAGAACUUUACAAACACUACAGUGCAUUUUCUAGAAAAUUUUUUCUAGGCCGGGCGCGGUGGCUCACGCCUGUAAUCCCAGCACUUUGGGAGGCAGAGGUGGGUGGAUCACGAGGUCAGGAGAUCAAGACCAUCCUGGCUAACACGGUGAAACCCCGUCUCUACUAAAAAUACAAAAAAAAUUAGCCGGGCGUAGUGGCGGGAGCCUGUAGUCCCAGCUACUCAGGAUGCUGAAGCAGAAGAAUGGCCUGAACCCGGCAGGCAGAGCUUGCAGUGAGCCGAGAUUGUGCCACUGCACUCCAGCCUGGGCGACAGAGCCAGACUCCGACUCAAAAAAAAAAAAAAAAGAAAAAGAAAAAUUUUUCUAAAUCUCCAUUGUUAAGAGAUCACUGUGAGGUAGGGUAGGGAGUGUGGGGAAAGAUUGGGGCCCCCAGGUUUGAAGAUCAGCUUGGUCUUGCCUGUGUGCAUGUAUCUGAUAAAAUGCAGGAAAAGUUUGUCUCUUCCCCACCCUCACUUCCACCCACUGUGAGGCUUGCUCAUGUCCAGAUUGGGCUCAGGAUGGCAGUUGUGGAUGCUCAGAGCACAAAAGGCUUCUUGUUUGCCCAAGGGCCUAUCAGUGUUUAAAUAGAACUGGCGGAAGCACAAGCACACCGUAUCAGCAGCUUAUCAGGGACCAUGGUUUUCCACGUACAUUUGCUAGGCACUUCAGUUUACCCAACUCCAUCAGCACUGAGUUAAAUUGCAAGGUUGGGCUGUACUACGCUGAGCCAGGGCAGGGAGAACAAGCCAGUUACUGGGGAUGAGGGUGUCGGGGGGGCCCUCAAGACCUUAUUUGCAUUCUGCCCACAUAGAGAAUAAAGCUGUGAUAGCCUGUGUACUAAGAGGCACCCAAAGAGAACCAGUCAGUCUUAGGAAUGCACCCGGAAGGUGGGAUGAGUCCAGGCCUCCCUAUGGUGGAAGUAGUUGGAGAUACCUCUUGUUACCCUGGUUUUCCAUCUUAGUUUACCAGGUGUAUAGUCAGUGCGGGUUAUGGUUAAAGGAGGUGUCAAUUGGGGGCCUGUUAAUGUCUUAAAAUUGUAUGCAAUUUUGGGGUUUGCAAAUGCGUCUGCGUGCAUAUUUCUCUGGCAGCUGACCUAUGAAUCAAAGGACUAAAUGUUCUUGUACUAUUCGGGCUGCAUCUUCUUUGAGGGUAAUCUUCAGGGCAGAUACAUGGGUAGCCUACUUUAGAAAUGAGGCCUUUGCAAUUAUAAUCACUCCUACUUUCUAAGCACUUGCUAUAUGCCAGGUGCUGUGCUAAAUGCUUUAUAAAUGUUAUCACAUUUAAUUCUCAGAAAAUCUUAUGAGAUAGGAAUUUUUAUUUCUAAAAGAGUUA